RNAcentral lists this long non-coding RNA (641 nucleotides) under Callithrix jacchus (white-tufted-ear marmoset). RNAcentral's name for it is "lncRNA (ENSCJAG00000078685.1)". The record is from RNAcentral. Lineage: Eukaryota; Metazoa; Chordata; Mammalia; Primates; Cebidae.
AUGGAGGGGGCGGGGUUCCUGAGUCCAGAGCUGGAAGUUGGGUUCAGCGGCCCAAGACGCUGGCUCUUCCAGACUCCUUUGCGCUGGGGCAGUGCGUGGGGGCUGCUUGGGUCCCUCCCGGCCUGCCGGGACCCUCAGGCUCCCGGGGCAGGACCAACCCACCCGACCCAGUGGCGACUUCCAGGCCUAGAAGCCCCCACUUUGCUCCCUCCCCACUCCGGUCAGCCAGCCCAGGGCCCCUCAGGCCCAAGAUCCCCAGGCCCAAACGGCGAACAGGUCCCAGUAUCUGCCUGCUUUUGCACUUGGGGGUGGAGGAGCCACCUCGUGACGCCCCUUCUGCCUCUCACCAGCUUACCCCUUUCUCCCCGUUCUGUAGGCUUCCCUCUGGAGCCAGAAGGAAGCCCGGUGCCAGCCAGCCUUCCCGAAGGACUAAGCCCGCACCAUCCGGCUUCCUCCAGUGGGCGCCUGCAGGACCCAGUCCAAGUUGCAGUGUGCCUAGAUUUCCUCCAAGGACAAAAAUGUGAAUAAAGCAAUAUUUUAGCCAAACAUUUCCGUGUCAAUUAAGAAGAUGGCAAUUCGUUCCAGACUAUAAAUUCUCUUUAACAACUCCCUAAGGUAUUCUUUUAAAUUGUUUUUCAACA